UCCCGGCUCGGGGAGGUAGUGACGAAAAAUAACAAUGCGAGACUCAUCCGAGGCUUCGCAAUUGGAAUGGGAACACUUCAAAUCCUUUAUCGAGGAUCUAUUGGAGGGCAAGUCUAGUGCCAGCAGCCGCGGUAAUUCCAGCUCCAAUAGCGUAUAUUAAAGUUGCUGCGGUUAAAAAGCUCGUAGUUGGAUCUCAGUCUUGAUCGGACGGUUCAUUUCACGAUGAUACAGUUCGAAUCGGACAAUUGGCCGCCUUUCUCCGUAUGCUCUUGAUUGAAGUGUGCGGAGGAAGUGGCACGUUCACUUUGAAAAAAUUAGAGUGCUCAAAGCAGGCCUUAGCCUGAAUCUUCGUGCAUGGAAUGAUGGAAUAGGGCCUCGGUUCUAUUUUGUUGGUUUCCGGAACUCGAGGUAAUGAUUAAGAGGGACGGACGGGGGCAUUCGUAUUGCGACGUUAGAGGUGAAAUUCUUAGAUCGUCGCAAGACGAACUACUGCGAAAGCAUUUGCCAAGAAUGUUUUCAUUAAUCAAGAACGAAAGUCAGAGGUUCGAAGGCGAUCAGAUACCGCCCUAGUUCUGACCAUAAACGAUGCCAACUGGCGAUCCGUCGGUGUUAAUCCAAAUGACCCGACGGGCAGUCUCCGGGAAACCAAAGUUUUCGUGUUCCGGGGGAAGUAUGGUUGCAAAACUGGAACUUAAAGGAAUUGACGGAAGGGCACCACCAGGAGUGGAGCCUGUGGCUUAAUUUGACUCAACACGGGAAAUCUCACCAGGCCCGGACACCGGCAGGAUUGACAGAUUGAGAGCUCUUUCUUGAUUCGGUGGGUGGUGGUGCAUGGCCGUUCUUAGUUGGUGGAGCGAUUUGUCUGGUUAAUUCCGAUAACGAACGAGACCCCGUCCUACUCACUAGACUGAGGAUCAUUUCCGUCCUCACCGUCUUCUUAGAGGGACAACUGGAAUCGAUCUAGCUACAUGAAAUGGGGCAU
RNAcentral lists this ribosomal RNA (982 nucleotides) under Ishizakiella miurensis. Its description in RNAcentral is "SSU rRNA". It matches the Rfam family "Eukaryotic small subunit ribosomal RNA", at positions 449 to 1453 of the family's 1831-position model. Lineage: Eukaryota; Metazoa; Arthropoda; Ostracoda; Podocopida; Leptocytheridae. The record is from RNAcentral.